GAGAACCAAGAACAGAGGUUAAAGCUAACAGACCAUCCUUUAGACGCAAACAACAACAAUGGCAUCCAAAGUUCUAAUCGUUUUCCUGGCCAUGAUCGUAGUCACAAUGGCCUGGACUUCGAAGAUGACUUGACAGACGGGCAGAUAGCAGCCGACAUGGAGUUCAUCAAGCGCGAUCCAUUCAUGCAAGAUUUCUUCUUAGCUGAGAAGCGGGGCAGGAACAUGAAGAAGUACAGACUUUGCCCUACUCAGGCUAAUCCUACCCAGGAAUGUUGGUGCACAAGAAGGAAGAACAAGUUCCUCUUCUGCACAGAACAAGGCAAGGGAAAUAUCUAACUCAUAGGAACAGAAAGAGAAUCUCAAGACGUGCUGCGUGUAAAAGAAAGUUGAAUUGCCAUCCAUGUUUAACGACCUACACUUGUUUUCUGAUUAUGAUUUAAUUGUAGAAUAAAUUUCAUUAAAUUUCUUCA
Strongylocentrotus purpuratus (purple sea urchin) is the source of this 470-nucleotide long non-coding RNA. RefSeq lists it as uncharacterized. NCBI's taxonomy places the organism in Eukaryota, Metazoa, Echinodermata, Echinoidea, Camarodonta, Strongylocentrotidae. The transcript is spliced from 4 exons. The record is from RefSeq and is a predicted model, not a curated record.